AGAGAUGAUGGGGUUGAUAGGCCGGAAGUGGAAGCGCAGUAAUGUGUGGAGCUGACCGGUACUAAUAGGCCGAGGACUUGACCAU
RNAcentral lists this ribosomal RNA (85 nucleotides) under Microbispora bryophytorum subsp. camponoti. RNAcentral describes it as "partial 23S ribosomal RNA". It matches the Rfam family "Bacterial large subunit ribosomal RNA", at positions 2840 to 2925 of the family's 2925-position model. The record is from RNAcentral. Lineage: Bacteria; Bacillati; Actinomycetota; Actinomycetes; Streptosporangiales; Streptosporangiaceae.